Molecule: long non-coding RNA, 403 nt
Organism: Musca domestica (house fly)
Lineage: Eukaryota; Metazoa; Arthropoda; Insecta; Diptera; Muscidae
Exons: 4
Source: RefSeq, a predicted model, not a curated record
GGAUUCGUCGUAAUGCCUGAUACAAAUUUCAUCGAAAUGCUAGUGGUCCUGCUUAUCACCAGCAAUCACGAAGGCGGUUUCUGGUUGAGAGAAAAAUUUAGAUGUAGCAAGUUCUAAAUAAUCGUUGAUUUGUAUCGCAAGUAAUAACUGAAAAACGUAUUGAAAAUUGUGACCCUCUGUGGGUGAGGCACCAGAAGAGGUUCGCAUAUAUAGAAGAAAUGGUCCGAUCUCUGUCAUAUUUAUAACAGAUCUUGUGGUGAUGGAAAUAUUGAUAUGUACCAAAUCUCAGUGAAGUCGGAUGUUAGUUUAGCGUUUUAUGAACUUCAUGAAUAUCCAAAAUUUUGACCCUUUGUGGAGGAGGUACCAAGAGGAGUUGACCGAUAUAUCCCAUCUUCACAGCAGA